UGACGCUGAGGCGCGAAAGCGUGGGGAGCGAACAGGAUUAGAUACCCUGGUAGUCCACGCGGUAAACGAUGAAUGUUAGGUGUUGCGGGUAUCGACCCCUGCAGUGCCGGAGUAAACACAAUAAACAUUCCGCCUGGGGAGUACGGCCGCAAGGUUGAAACUCAAAGGAAUUGACGGGGGCCCGCACAAGCAGCGGAGCAUGUUGUUUAAUUCGAAGCAACGCGAAGAACCUUACCAGGUCUUGACAUCCGAUUAAAGCCGUAGAGAUACGGUGUUCCUUCGGGAGAAUCGAGACAGGUGGUGCAUGGUUGUCGUCAGCUCGUGUCGUGAGAUGUUGGGUUAAGUCCCGCAACGAGCGCAACCCUUAUGGUCAGUUACUAACUCGUAGCGGUGAGGACUCUGACAAGACUGCCGGGGACAACUCGGAGGAAGGUGGGGACGACGUCAAAUCAUCAUGCCCCUUAUGACCUGGGCUACAAACGUGCUACAAUGGUGACAACAAAGAGGAGCGAGACCGUAAGGUGGAGCGGAUCUCAAAAAAGUCAUCCCAGUUCGGAUUGUGGGCUGCAACCCGCCCACAUGAAGUUGGAGUUGCUAGUA
Molecule: ribosomal RNA, 600 nt
Filed under: uncultured bacterium
Lineage: Bacteria
Description: bacterial SSU rRNA
Rfam family: Bacterial small subunit ribosomal RNA
Source: RNAcentral